UACGUAGGGUGCGAGCGUUAAUCGGAAUUACUGGGCGUAAAGCGUGCGCAGGCGGCUAUUUAAGCUUGCUGUGAAAGCCCCGGGCUUAACCUGGGAACUGCAGUGAGGACUGGAUGGCUGGAGUGUGGCAGAGGGGGGUGGAAUUCCACGUGUAGCAGUGAAAUGCGUAGAGAUGUGGAGGAACACCGAUGGCGAAGGCAGCCCCCUGGGCUAACACUGACGCUCAGGCACGAAAGCGUGGGGAGCAAACAGG
RNAcentral lists this ribosomal RNA (253 nucleotides) under uncultured bacterium. RNAcentral describes it as "partial 16S ribosomal RNA". It matches the Rfam family "Bacterial small subunit ribosomal RNA", at positions 524 to 776 of the family's 1533-position model. The record is from RNAcentral.